Lemur catta (Ring-tailed lemur) is the source of this 264-nucleotide long non-coding RNA. RefSeq lists it as uncharacterized. NCBI's taxonomy places the organism in Eukaryota, Metazoa, Chordata, Mammalia, Primates, Lemuridae. The transcript has 3 exons. The record is from RefSeq and is a predicted model, not a curated record.
CUUUGUUUCUUGCGUCAGCGCCCAUAGCUGUGUUUGUGUUCACUGCUGCUUUGCCGUUGCUGGGGCAGGUCUGGGUGGCUCUGCUGCAGCUUAUGUCCUCUUGUGACUUGCAGUUACUGGAAGAUCUGUGUGGAGCGUGGCAGGACACUCAAGAAUCCAGGAACUGGUAUUGACACUUUGGAAAUUUUUGAACCUAAAGGAAGAAACUGAGACACAAAAUAUGAUUUUGAAGAGUUUACCUGAGCCAGAACACAGUGUAUCACU